Molecule: ribosomal RNA, 494 nt
Filed under: uncultured bacterium
Lineage: Bacteria
Description: bacterial SSU rRNA
Rfam family: Bacterial small subunit ribosomal RNA
Source: RNAcentral
UAGUCCGCACCGUAAACGAUGCUCACUCGCUGUUGGCGAUAGACAGUCAGCGGCCAAGCGAAAGCGUUAAGUGAGCCACCUGGGGAGUACGAUCGCAAGAUUGAAACUCAAAGGAAUUGACGGGGGUCCGCACAAGCGGUGGAACAUGUGGUUUAAUUCGACGCAACGCGAAUAACCUUACCUGGGCUCGAAGUGCUAGUGACAUCCCAUGAAAGUGGGCUUCUCUUCGGAGACGCUAGUAUAGGUGCUGCAUGGCUGUCGUCAGCUCGUGUCGUGAGAUGUUGGGUUAAGUCCCGUAACGAGCGCAACCCUUAUCCCUAGUUGCCGCCGAGUAAUGUCGAGCACUCUAGGGAGACUGCCGGCGAUAAGCCGGAGGAAGGUGGGGGAUGACGUCAAGUCAUCAUGGCCCUUACGUCCAGGGGCUACACACGUGUUACAAUGGGCUGGGUACAAUGGGCGAAGCCGCAAGGGUGGGAGGACAAUCCCAAAAAACC